CUUCAUACCCACACACACCGUUAUAUAAUAGCAUGUGAAAGUUGCGAUUCGUUACCAGGAAAGCGAAGAUGCUUGCCCUUCACCUUCAUUAGCGACUGAAGAGCCUGCAUAACCCUCUUUUAAUCACCCUCUCAAAUCCCCCUUCAGGUCCAGGUUUCCACUCAAAUCCCCCUUCAGGUCCAGGUUUCCACAGCAGUGAACAACCAACGGCGGAUUGGGGCUUCAACACUGGAAUAGAGUCCUGCCACCACCACCGACGAUCCACGAUUUACUCUGCCCUUACUGACAGUCACCUAAGGAAAAAAACAAGUAAGAAUCUAUCUCCCGUUUUCUCGUAUCAACAAUUUCUACAAUUUGACACCCUUUUAUUUAAAUGUCAGCUUGAUUAGUUCUAGACUCAACAUUGACAUUUACUGUAAACUCCAUGAGAAAAAACGAGUCAUUUGUAUAAUUGUAUGUUAGAUUAAUUAAGCAUUAUCAACAUUGUGCCCACAAGGUGUUUGAUAUAAUGUCCGAAUGAAAGAAUUGUGAUCAAAUGAGCAUGAGACCACCACCUUAUCCAAUAGCUGUACUGAGAGGUCAUCGUGUUUCUGUUAUGGAUGUUUGUUUUCAUCCUUCUCAUAAUUUGGUGUUCGGUAAAUAUAUUAAUCAUGUUUUGAAGCAUUGUUAAAUUAUGUCGCAAUUUAUAAUCCAAACUAUUUUAUUUAUAUUAAUUUUCUAAUUUCCUCUUUUCUCUUGUUUGCACAUUGGGCUGAUGGUUAUUUUGGCUUCAUGUUGGGCUGGCUUUGUUGGUCAAAGUUGUCAAGGCUUUAUUCUAAGUCAAAGAUUACGUUAAUUACCGAAAAAUGAGAGUUAUAACGUGGUUUCACCAAACUACAUGUUAACACACCAAUCUAACAUCAAUGAGAAGAUGAGAGCCAUGCUAAUGGACUGCCUUAUCGAGGUACCGUCAAAGACCCUUUUUUAAUAACUACUAAAAAAAUUUGAAAAUAACCAGGUGCACUAGAAAGAAGUUGCAACUGGUUGGUAUUGGUGGUGUUGAGUGGUGACUUGGUUGUGGUGGUGAAUGGCUACAACGCUGGAUUGAACACCGACGGAGCUUGAAAGUGAUUUUCUAAUUUAACUCGGUUUCAUCAGUUAUUCAUCAAUCGAAGUUAGCGGUUAGGGAAGAUCAAACGUAUUCCAGAGUUUACGUUUUUGUGUUAUAUGAAUCUGAUCGAAUGCCUUUUCUCAAACAAAAUCAUUAUACUCCGGUCAAGCCGUUGACCGUGUCGGCUGCGGUCUCUCACUUCUUUGAAGAACGAGGUGUUGACUGCUAACUGUUUGCGAAAACAUGCCAAUGGGAACUUCAAAUUUUGAUAUGAAAAAAGCUCUUGAGUCACAAGAAAUUCUUGUUCGCUUGGCCUGUUGCUCGACAGGAGCAUGGGAUGUUGUUACAGAGGCAAGAUUCAUUCAAGCAGAAGUUUGGAACCUUAGACGAUCAUAAUACCGACGGUCUACAGGAUUCUACUGAGAAUUUGUAGCCAAUUUGACUACUUAUGGGUUUCAAUGAAGAAAACAAAGCUAAGAAAGGAAUCCACAUAAACCCCAAGAAAUCGCCUCAGGUGGGCUUUUUGAUAAAGCGUGAGAUGUCGAAAUCCAAGAGAGAUCCAGUAGCUUUGUCAAAAAAAAAAAAAAGAGGAAUGGAGCAUAAAGAGAACAUACUGACCAGCUUUGAGAACAUGAGGAAACUCAAGUUUAAGCAUCUCAGAGAGCAACUCAAAUCCACUAGCAGGAAUAGGCCCAUCUGUUAGAAGAUUAUGUGUUCAAGAAAAAGAGAUAAAUGGUGCGGAGAUUAAGGCAAGUUUUGUUGUCCAUCAGGAUGUUAAGAGGAAGAGCCACCGAUGUUACACUUGGAUGGUCAGUUGCUCAUGGCCCACCUUUUACAUUUGCAACUACACUAGAACAUGAGUAUGAAAGUGAUAUAUUUGGAGAAAGAGGUCGGCUUCAUUCUUUGUAGAAAUAAGCUCAGAUACAAGACCAAAUUUUUAUUUCCAAACACAAAUACCCGCAGCAACGUGCGGGCAUUCCCACUAGUUAAUAUUAAACGUUAAGCCGUUUACUUGCCCAGUAGCCGGACUACGUUCUAGAAAGACCGUCUUGCUUUUGACUAUUUAACCCAUUUUUUUUUCAAAAAAAAAUUUAACCCAUUUUAUAUAUUAUAUAUCGGGGUAGGCCGCCGGCUAAUUGUAGGCGGCUUGUCAAACUAUUAUUUCUACGUUAUACAUAUUCUAAACCAUAUAAUUAAAAAAAAGCCAUAUAAUUAAAUAAAUUAUAUUACAUAACAACAUAUUUGGAAUUUUAUGCAUUGAAAUAGAAUAUUUAUAAUAAAUUUCGUAUGCGUAGUUCUAAAUUAAAAAAUGUUAAUUAUUCAAGCAUAGAUUAUAAAUGAUUGUUAAUUAUUAAAUACGGUGUUUGUGUAACUAACAGUGAAAUAAAAGUUGUACUUUAUUUUGAAUUUGAAUAUAUGUACAUUGUGAUCUAUAUAUUUAUAAUUCAUUAAUACAUUAAUACAAAACUUAUUUAUUUUGAUCCAUGUAGUUAUGUCUUGAUAGCAUUACUUUUCUUUAAUGUGAUUCAUAAGUUAUCUUUUUUUUUUUUAAUGGCAAGGAACAACAUGCCAACCAUCGUGACAUCGGGCGUUGUGCCCAAGGUCGACUAUUCGACCGCCAUUAGCCCUUUGGCUCUCCCCAGACACGCAGAAACCCGCCUGAAGGCUCGCAGAGGAAUAACGGUAAAAUCUCACCUUUCAUCCAAGUCGACCCGACGCCACCCGUAUUCGCUCUUCACCUGGAUACCGCAGAAAAUAGUGAGGAGAGUGGAAAUCGAACAUGGGUCACAAAGAACACCAAUUUUUUCCUCAACCACUCCACCACUACCUCAUUGGCAUCUUUUUUUGUUUUAUUUUCGUCUUUAGUAAGUAUAAUUUAAGAUUAUUAAUCAACAAUCAAAUACUUCUAAUAAAUGAUAUGCUAAAUACAAUGUUGUAAAGACUAAAGAGUAUGUGAAAAGAGACAAAUGAAUGAAAGCUUUGUCUUCUGUGUAAA
Long non-coding RNA from Helianthus annuus (common sunflower), 3086 nucleotides. RefSeq lists it as uncharacterized. The transcript has 9 exons. The record is from RefSeq and is a predicted model, not a curated record. NCBI's taxonomy places the organism in Eukaryota, Viridiplantae, Streptophyta, Magnoliopsida, Asterales, Asteraceae.